Aedes albopictus (Asian tiger mosquito) is the source of this 777-nucleotide long non-coding RNA. RefSeq lists it as uncharacterized. NCBI's taxonomy places the organism in Eukaryota, Metazoa, Arthropoda, Insecta, Diptera, Culicidae. The record is from RefSeq and is a predicted model, not a curated record. The transcript has 2 exons.
AUUCCAGCGAGAGUGACCACUGCCGUCGUUGUCGGUGCUGUCGUGUUUUGGGGACCUUCCGGUAACUCAAGAUUAAUACGGCAGAGGCAAAGUCAGAUCGCCGGAUUGCACAACUUCGGGAAGACCUGCUUCCUAAAUACGCUGUUCCAGGCCUUGGCGACUUGUCCGUUGUCAGUUGGACAACACCAAGGACGUGAAAACGUUGGUCAAUGGAUCGCAUCCGACGUUGCGCCGAGAUCCGUAUUCUCCGGGAGCAGUUAUCCGGUCGUUGAACGGAGGAGGUAACCAAACCGAAGAUGAUCGGCUGUCUGUCGGACGCCCUGGAAGAAGAAGAACUGAAGGUCAUGAUGCCAGGCCGUCCAGUGCCAAGCUGUCGGAGUUUUGCAAUAUCAAGUACGACGUAUCCACGAACGUGACACGCUGGAGGGGUCACUGAUGCGCCGGAACACCGUCAACGAUCAUUUCCAAGCUCUCCGGACGACCGAGUAAGCCGAAGUCGAUUCUGGCCACAAACAUAAGCCGAAACUGGACAAAUGACCAUCUGGAUCGUGCCGAUCUCUGUGGGUGUGCUCCGGGAGGGUGUGGAUCUGGGCAGACCGAAAACAGAUCCAGGUUCCCCAUCCGUUCCGAGGCGAAGCAGUCAGGUCAGGUAUGCUGAUAAAAAUCCGUGGUCAGAUGCGACAUGUUCGAAAGUGUGACGCUGCCGCUUCCGGAAGUUAACAACCCCAGAAUUGUUAGGUUCUCUACUUGACUGAAAUAAAGGCUGCUAUAUCCAAA